This 440-nucleotide ribosomal RNA is filed under the name uncultured bacterium. Its description in RNAcentral is "partial 16S ribosomal RNA". It matches the Rfam family "Bacterial small subunit ribosomal RNA", at positions 338 to 795 of the family's 1533-position model. The record is from RNAcentral.
CCUACGGGUGGCAGCAGUGGGGGAUAUUGCACAAUGGGGGAAACCCUGAUGCAGCGACGCCGCGUGUGGGAAGACGGUCCUCUGGAUUGUAAACCACUGUCCCCAGGGACGAAGAUGACGGUACCUGGGGAGGAAGCUCCGGCUAACUACGUGCCAGCAGCCGCGGUAAUACGUAGGGAGCGAGCGUUGUCCGGAAUUACUGGGUGUAAGGGGAGGGUAGGCGGGACUGCAAGUUGGGUGUCAAAUCUACCGGCUCAACCGGUAGCCGCACUCAAAACUGCAGUUCUUGAGUGAAGGAGAGGCAGGCGGAAUUCCUAGUGUAGCGGUGAAAUGCGUAGAUAUUAGGAGGAACACCAGUGGCGAAGGCGGCCUGCUGGGCUUUUACUGACGCUGAGGCUCGAAAGUGUGGGGAGCAAACAGGAUUAGAUACCCUUGUAGUC